CGGUUUUCUCGGCAGCAAGUGCUCCGGCAGCAAACACGCAACGCGUCUCUACAUUCACUUUGAAUGGGAUCGUGCAGCGCGGCAACUUUUUGCAUCUUAUGGUGUGAACGCAGGGUCGGAGUGACCUAGAGUUCACUACCUGAUCCAGAUCAAACCGCUAAAAUGGAGGAAAAGCUCAUCAUUUCAGUCUCCGCAUUCCCGGAGAUCUUCAACACCACCUUGGCCAGUAAGGACCGGACGGUCAAGGCCAAGGCUUGGCUGAAGGUGAGCAAGGAGGUCGGGCUAAAUGAGGAGGAAUGCCGACGAUAGUGGAUGGUCCUGAGGGACACCUACCUCAGGGAGAGACGCAGACAGGAGGCAGGAGAGAGGAGUGGGACAGCAGCAGGCCCGUUGAAGACGUGGAAGUACUCUGCAGUCCUGUCUUUCCUCGGCCCAUUUGUUACUCCGAGGGAGACCAGUAGCAAUAUGGUGCUGGGGGUCGAGGUAGACGGGAUUGCAGAGUACCCAGUCGAGGACCACGGUUCAGAGGCAGCAGCAGGGACAGCGAGUGACCUGGGAGGUUGGUCGAUAAGGGAAGACACACACACACGCCCAUACACAGCAUGAUUUGUUCUAUAGAUUGAUAACUACCUCUUGUCACCUCAGAAGAUCCCUGUACAAGCUGUGAGGAGCCGGAAGCUGCUGCUGCCUCUGAACCCAUUCCACCACCACCACCACCACCAACUGCUGCGGUCACCACUCCUCCUAUUGCCCCAGUGAGGAGGACACAGAAAAGAGGGAGAGUGGGGGGGGAGGGAGAGGGAGGGACAGAUAGAGAAGUGCCUCCUGGAGGUGUUCAGGAGGCCGCCUCCACCUGCUCCAGCGCCUCCGCCUCCUCCUCCUCCUCCUCCUCCUCCUCCUCCUCCUCCUCCUCCUCCUCCUCCUCCUCCUCCAGCGCCUCUCUCUCCGAGGACAAACAUUUUUUUAAAGGGAUAAUUCCUUCCCUGCAACGAUUGUCACCCCAUGCAAAAGAACACAUACAAUUUCAAAUUUAUAAAUUAUUGCAUGACGCUAACAAUUUAUAUAAUCCAGGAGUGCUCAAUUUGGACUCUCAAUUUGAACCAUUCGCUGAAUAGGUUCACUGGGGUGACAAUCGUUGCAGGGAAUGAUCCAUGCCCAUUUUUUUUUGUUUACACUCACGCACACACACACACACGCCCCAAUAAAGGAUUAUUUUUAUUCAAAAGAUGGCUUCAGAUUCUUUAUUGAAUGGCCAUUUAAGUUGCUUGAGGGAAAUGUUGCAAAUUAUUUUGUGCCACAGAUUUUAGGGUCUAAGCAACUUUGCUUAAGGUAUUGUUGUCAGGUAUGUUGUGCCCUACUCGUUGAAGAGCACAACCAAGAACGGGAGGUCCCCACAGCGACAGUUAAAUGUACGUUACAUUUAUUUAGUAACCAAAAAAACAAAUCAGUAUUCUGUAGUGUUGUGUGGUGUUUACAAACUAAACUAUGAG
RNA transcript from Gadus morhua (Atlantic cod), 1490 nucleotides. It is a transcript of the gene named chromodomain-helicase-DNA-binding protein 9, with no coding region annotated. The transcript is spliced from 3 exons. Lineage: Eukaryota; Metazoa; Chordata; Actinopteri; Gadiformes; Gadidae. The record is from RefSeq and is a predicted model, not a curated record.